UCAUGUUAGCCAGAAACCUAGACUCAAAUUUAACUAAGAAAUGAAUUUACUGGGAAGAAAGUAGAUGACCCAGAAUCAAGAGGAAAUGUUAACAAUCUGGUUUAGAAAGUGAGAGAGAACUAAAGGAAACUAAUUUAGCUGUGCGGCAAUCAAUUAAUGCCAUGCUAAAGAUCCCACAUUCAUGCCACUGCUCUCUCUGCAGGUGCUGCCCUCGCCCAGGUGGAGCCACAGCUGCUGGUGCUCAAGGAACAGUCCUCUACCAACAAGCUUCCGUGAAUCUCUCUGGAGUCAAUGUCCCAGAGCAUUUUAGGCUAACUGAAGCCACAGACUGGCUAUGGAACCCUGACUCUGAUCCCGUGUGCAUCGUCAAGGUGGAAGGAGCAUAUAAUAAAUUUUAUCUCUGACCUGAGAAAACCCUACAAACUCACAUAAGACCAUCAAUCAAAAUCAGCAGAAUCCUGGAAGACUGAUAUUUCAUAUUAGCAUUAUAAUUUGGAUGUCGGUAUGUAAGUGUACUGGCUUGAAUGGUCUCCCCUAAAAAUCUGUGUCAUUUCCACCUGGAACUACCUGGAACCAUAUAAGAGAGAAAUUUGGACACAGAGGCACAGACACACAUGGGUAACACCAUAUGACCAUGGAGGAAUGAUGCACCUAUAAGCCAAUGAAUGCCAAGAAUUGACAGAAAUUUCUAGAAGUUAAAAGAGUCAACAAAGUCUCCCCUAGAGAUUUUGGCUCUGCCAAAACCUUCAUUUAGAGCUUCUAGCCUCCAGAAUUAUGAGAGAACGCAUUUCUGUUGUUUGAAGCCACACAGUUUGUGUCAUCCAUUAGGGCACCCUAGGAAACUAGUAUAGUACACACUUAGUGUUAUAAAAUGAUCAGAAUUUAUGUUUAUUUUAAUUGCAUAUUUAAAUAUAUAUGAGCGAGCCCAUAGAAACUUUGAAAAAUUUCUCAUUCUAAAAUACGAGCCUUUUUAUACAAAUGCAUACCUAUAUAUUUUUACUGAUAUCUUCUGUGUUCUGAAACUUAAUGCAUCUUUAUAAUAACUUGAUGUGGUUUUACCACAGAAAAGAAUUUUUAGUUUGUAUCAGAAUAAACUAGUUUUUCUGGUUAAAUAAAAAUUCA
Molecule: long non-coding RNA, 1122 nt
Filed under: Felis catus (domestic cat)
Lineage: Eukaryota; Metazoa; Chordata; Mammalia; Carnivora; Felidae
Description: lncRNA (ENSFCAG00000053699.1)
Source: RNAcentral